CUAUUGACAACAAAAAUUUUAUAGAGCCAACAAUAAAAUUAUAAUCUAAAUUAACGUCUGGAUUUCUCGAAUACCCAAUUCUUCCGGAUGGCAGAUUUCAGAAUCUAAGGUCCUCCAGGCAGCAGAAAAGGGAACAUCAUUGGGGAUUUAUUCGAUAUCAGUUAAUACAUACAGUUAAAGGGAUUCUAAUUUAAACCAAAUAACUAUCCAUAUUCUAAUUUAAACCAAAUAAGUAUCCGUUAAUCAACAUUUUAAUUGGAUUGAGGUAAUCGAAAUUUCUCCAAUACGGUUAUCGGAUAAAUUGCAUAAAUAGUAGAGGAAUCAGAUUCUUCUAUACCGACAAUAUUUCAGAUUCUGUCGUCUUCUUUCUCGAUGGGUUAUGUAGAAUUUCAUCUACUUCUUCUUCCAGAUUCAUCGAUCUUCUUUCUUUUCUAAUAGUUCUGUCUCUUCGUUCUUCUGUUAAGAUAGCACUACAAAAAACCAUCGCAGUUCUGGCGCCCAUCUCCCGACGGCCAGGCCGCCAGAAUGUUACACUUGUCCUUCGGCAUAAUUUUCCCUCGUAAAUGAGAGAAAUGAGCUGGCGGCCAAGCCGACGGUAUCUUUUUUUUAAGAUGCCAUCGGCUUGGCUGCCAGCUCCAAUUUUCCCAACGGUCAGGAAGAAGUGAGCCGGCGGCCUGGCCACCGGCAUCCUAAAACCAUCAACGGUCGGGAGAAAAAUUGCUGGCGGCUUGGCCGCUGGCUACUUUUACAACUUUUACAACUUACAACUUGCUGGCGGCUUGGCCGCUUGUUUUUUUCAGUAACCCUAAAAUUACAACUUGUGCCGUCGCCCGUACAGUCAAAUCUAGUCAACUCGAACUUAAGUAUUUCCCGGCGGCCUGAAUUUUUUAUAUAACUAAAUUUUUUUCAGAUUUCUUUUAUUUUAUUUCCCCCCAAAAUCCUCUCCACUUCUCCCAUUCCUCUCUAACCCUCCCCAAAUCCCUUCGGCGAUCUUUCAGCCACUUCUCUCCGGUCAUCCUCGAAGUUCAUCCUCAAGGUAUGUUUUUCGUCUUCAUUUAUUUCUUAUCUUGUUUUUUUUGUUUUUUUUUGUUAUCUUUUUCAUCUUCUAGUCUGUCCUCCGUCCACUUCUCUCCGGUCAUCCUCGAAGUUCAUCCUCAAGGUAUGUUUUUCAUUUUCAUUUAGUUUUUGUCUUAUUUUUUGUUAUCUUUUUUAUCUUCUUCUCUCAUUUUUUUUUGUUGUUUAAAUUUGGGGGUUUAUGAUUUGUGAAACUUUGAGUUAUUACGGGGUUUAUAUUUAGAGUUUUAUGAAAUGAGGGUUUCUAAUUUAGGAUUUUAUGAAAUGUUAGUUUUUUAAUUUGGGGAUUUGAUUUUAUUUAUUUAGAGUGUUUGAUUUGUGUAAGUUUUUAAAUGUUUUAACUAUUAGGGUUGAUGUUUGAUUUAGUAUGUUGUUUUUAAAUGAUUUUGUGUUUUGAUGUUUUUUUAAGUAUUUUAAAUUUACUGUUUUUGUUAAAUGGUUUGCUGGAAAUUUAUUGUUUAACACUUAUAUGGUUUGCUGGAAAUUUUAUUUAUUGAUCUAUAAUGUUUUUUUUUUAAUCUUUUAAUGUUUUAUUUUUGUGUUUGCUGGAAUAGGUAGUUGAUAAUUGAUCUUUUAAUCUUAUAAAUUUUUGAUCUAUAUGGUUUGUUGGAAUUUUUUGUUAUUGAUAUAUAAUGAUUUUUUUUUUUAUUUUUUUAAUGUUUUAAUGUUUUAUUUGUGUGUUUGUUGGAAUAGGUAGUUGUUGGAAUUUUUGUUUUAAGUUUUUAAUUAAAUGUUCUGUUUUAAAAUUUGAAUUAAAUAUUCUAUUUUAAAUUUUUAAUUAAAUGUUUUGUUUUAAAUAAUUAUUUAAAUUUUCUGUUUUAAUUUAUGUUACUAUUUAUGUAAUUUUUUUAGGUUGAAUUGUUGUUGGAUUUUGUGUCUCCGAUAUCCGAUCCACGAGUGAAAUUCAAGUUGUGCUUUAAUCUUUAUCGAUCGAUCAAUGUAAUAUUUUUCAUUCAUUUUAAAUUAUUCAUUUAUUAAUUAGUUAAUAUAAUUUACAUGUUAAUUAAAUAAUUGGAAAAUGAAAUGUAU
Molecule: long non-coding RNA, 2103 nt
Filed under: Zostera marina
Lineage: Eukaryota; Viridiplantae; Streptophyta; Magnoliopsida; Alismatales; Zosteraceae
Description: long non-coding RNA (ZMAR_LNC000945)
Source: RNAcentral